This is a non-coding RNA of Marasmius tenuissimus, 101 nucleotides long. Lineage: Eukaryota; Fungi; Basidiomycota; Agaricomycetes; Agaricales; Marasmiaceae. The record is from the annotation of a GenBank genome assembly.
GCAUCAAUGGGGUAGAGGUAACCUGGGUCGUUGCCACAUAGUGACUCACAGCUGACAAUUUGUCUGUCGACCCGCCGGGGGUUCGAUUCCCUCUUGAUGCA